This is a long non-coding RNA of Diceros bicornis minor, 230 nucleotides long. RefSeq lists it as uncharacterized. The record is from RefSeq and is a predicted model, not a curated record. NCBI's taxonomy places the organism in Eukaryota, Metazoa, Chordata, Mammalia, Perissodactyla, Rhinocerotidae. The transcript has 3 exons.
GGCCUCUCAGCUAGGGCUAUUGACGGCAUUGUGGUUGGAGUCCUGGCUGGGGCAGCUCUGAUAGCUCCGGUGUCCUUUCUGUACAUCUGAAAGACUGGAGGGUCAGGGCCACUCUGACAACUCCCCUAACAAGGUCGAUGAAGUUGCAUAUUCUUCCCUGAACUUCAAUGCCCAGGAAUCAAAGAAACUAACUUCAGCCUCCCCAUCCUCAUCAGCCACAGAAGUAGUUU